CGCACGGGUGAGUAACGCGUAUGCAACCUGCCUGAUACCGGGGUAUAGCCCAUGGAAACGUGGAUUAACACCCCAUAGUACUUUUAUCCUGCAUGGGAUGUGAGUUAAAUGUUCAAGGUAUCGGAUGGGCAUGCGUCCUAUUAGUUAGUUGGCGGGGUAACAGCCCACCAAGACGAUGAUAGGUAGGGGUUCUGAGAGGAAGGUCCCCCACAUUGGAACUGAGACACGGUCCAA
RNAcentral lists this ribosomal RNA (234 nucleotides) under uncultured bacterium. RNAcentral describes it as "partial 16S ribosomal RNA". It matches the Rfam family "Bacterial small subunit ribosomal RNA", at positions 99 to 334 of the family's 1533-position model. The record is from RNAcentral.